Molecule: long non-coding RNA, 1173 nt
Organism: Brassica napus (rape)
Lineage: Eukaryota; Viridiplantae; Streptophyta; Magnoliopsida; Brassicales; Brassicaceae
Exons: 2
Source: RefSeq, a predicted model, not a curated record
AUUUUACUUUUACACUUUGUUUGAUACCAUAAUUCAACUUUACCAUCACUCUAGAGACAUUUUCAUAAAUACCUAAAUCAUUAAUGGCCAAAUGACUAAACUAACCUUUUUCAAUUUAUCUCUGAUUUUUCCAAUCUCGUCUUCUUCGUCAAGCUUCGGUGCCAUCUUCAUCGAGUCUCGCCGUCGCCGUAUUCAAGAGGCGGCGCUGCUGCUCCUUCCUCCUGAACAGUGUUCUCUCUCCUCUUAUCUCUCAGCUCCGAUGAAUUCUCCCUCCAGCUCCCGCGAUGACGCGUCUUCAGCAAAUCCCGAUGGUGUCCUUCCUGCUUUCUUCUUCUGCACCGACGACUCAGACAGCUCAGCUCAACCAUGGCGUUCACCUAAGUUUGAAGAAUCCCUCAGUUGCACGUGGUAAUUCUCUUGGUUUGAUGUCUCCAGACCCUCCCGAACCACCAGAUCCGCCGGAUUUGGGAUCUGUCAUGGUGGAAUCAAAUCUUGUGACAGUCUCCUUUGAGUAUGAUCUUUCAUCUUCUAUGUAUGGCCUUGAUUUGCUUUAGGUUACAAUGGGGAUGGACUUGAGGGUUGUUCCGGCAGAGGAGUGGUGGGAAGAAUGAGGGAGAGAUUCUAGCCUCGAUGGUGAAAGUGACCUAGGCCUUAUGGUUACGGAUUUUCUCGAGAUGGGAGGUGGUGGAAGCGGUGGUGACCUAGGCCUUAUGGUUACGGAUUUUCCGGAUCCUUCUUACCUUUCCGAUAAGAUUCAGAAUAAACGUACAGCAAAGAACAUCAUUGAUUUUGUCAUCUGUACAUAGUUGCUAAUCACAUUCCAAUGGAUAGCACUUGCCUAGAGAAUUGUUUCCAGUGUGCUCUCUUCUGAUGCUUAUAAUGUUCUUGCAACUUCACACCCCUUUGUGGCUGAGGAUUUCCUCACAAUUUCAAGGCUCAUCAAAAUGGUGUAUGAUCACCUUUGUAGCCAAGUUUCUUGCUGCUCUUUAUGCCUUUAUUACUGCAGCAUGUUCGGGUAGCAGUUCACCGAGUGUCUCCUCUGAUUCCCGUGGCUUCAUCUCACCAAUUAGCAUUUUGUGAUGUUUCAAUUUUAAGUUGCUUAAGUGUUUUGUUUGCCUUUAUCUGUGUUUAUGUUAUCUGCUUAGCCUUUGAUGCAACAGUUUCCUUCUGUCA